UCUCAUUAUUAGCUUAAUUGUAAAAUUUUUAGUCGAGAAAAUGCCGAGGAUAUUCCUGAUAUAUACUGGCAACAAGCAGCCAGAGAACUAGACUUCUGUACAUGUAGAAAAUGUCAGGCUCGGUACAGACAAUAUUUUGAAGAUGAACCGUUUAGUCCUGUGUCUAGUAAUGGUAUAGCUGAAGCUAUUCUACCAUUAGAAACACAGGUGAUGAUGCAGGAUCUGUUGAGCGAUGGAAUGGCAUUUUGCUCUUUGAUGUAAAUAAACAAAAACUGGUUUCUUAUUGUAAACAAACAAUGGUUUCCGAAAAUAAAAAUUAUAAAAUUUAA
This is a long non-coding RNA of Eurytemora carolleeae, 329 nucleotides long. RefSeq lists it as uncharacterized. NCBI's taxonomy places the organism in Eukaryota, Metazoa, Arthropoda, Copepoda, Calanoida, Temoridae. The transcript is spliced from 3 exons. The record is from RefSeq and is a predicted model, not a curated record.